ACUCCUACGGGAGGCAGCAGUGGGGAAUAUUGCACAAUGGGCGCAAGCCUGAUGCAGCAACGCCGCGUGAGGGACGACGGCCUUCGGGUUGUAAACUUCUUUUGGCAGGGAAGAAGCGAAAGUGACGGUACCUGCAGAAAAAGCACCGGCUAACUACGUGCCAGCAGCCGCGGUAAUACGUAGGGUGCAAGCGUUGUCCGGAAUUAUUGGGCGUAAAGAGCUCGUAGGCGGUUUGUCGCGUCUGCUGUGAAAACGCGAGGCUCAACCUCGCGCCUGCAGUGGGUACGGGCAGACUAGAGUGUGGUAGGGGAGAUUGGAAUUCCUGGUGUAGCGGUGGAAUGCGCAGAUAUCAGGAGGAACACCGAUGGCGAAGGCAGAUCUCUGGGCCAUUACUGACGCUGAGGAGCGAAAGCGUGGGGAGCGAACAGGAUUAGAUACCCUGGUAGUCCACGCCGUAAACGUUGGGAACUAGAUGUGGGGUCCAUUCCACGGAUUCCGUGUCGCAGCUAACGCAUUAAGUUCCCCGCCUGGGGAGUACGGCCGCAAGGCUAAAACUCAAAGGAAUUGACGGGGGCCCGCACAAGCGGCGGAGCAUGCGGAUUAAUUCGAUGCAACGCGAAGAACCUUACCAAGGCUUGACAUGCACCUGAAAAGGCUGGAAACAGUCUCCUCGCAAGACAGGUGCACAGGUGGUGCAUGGUUGUCGUCAGCUCGUGUCGUGAGAUGUUGGGUUAAGUCCCGCAACGAGCGCAACCCUCGUUCUAUGUUGCCAGCGCGUUAUGGCGGGAACUCAUAGGAGACUGCCGGGGUCAACUCGG
RNAcentral lists this ribosomal RNA (818 nucleotides) under uncultured Actinomycetes bacterium. RNAcentral's name for it is "bacterial SSU rRNA". It matches the Rfam family "Bacterial small subunit ribosomal RNA", at positions 335 to 1166 of the family's 1533-position model. The record is from RNAcentral. Lineage: Bacteria; Bacillati; Actinomycetota; Actinomycetes.